GGAAUAUUGCACAAUGGGGGAAACCCUGAUGCAGCGACGCCGCGUGAGUGAAGAAGUAUUUCGGUAUGUAAAGCUCUAUCAGCAGGGAAGAAGAAGGACGGUACCUGAGUAAGAAGCCCCGGCUAACUACGUGCCAGCAGCCGCGGUAAUACGUAGGGGGCAAGCGUUAUCCGGAUUUACUGGGUGUAAAGGGAGCGUAGACGGCGAAGAAAGUCUGAAGUGAAAGCCCGCGGCUCAACCGCGGAAUGGCUUUGGAAACUUUUUUGCUGGAGUACCGGAGAGGUAAGCGGAAUUCCUAGUGUAGCGGUGAAAUGCGUAGAUAUUAGGAGGAACACCAGUGGCGAAGGCGGCUUACUGGACGGUAACUGACGUUGAGGCUCGAAAGCGUGGGGAGCAAACA
Molecule: ribosomal RNA, 400 nt
Filed under: uncultured bacterium
Lineage: Bacteria
Description: bacterial SSU rRNA
Rfam family: Bacterial small subunit ribosomal RNA
Source: RNAcentral